RNAcentral lists this ribosomal RNA (408 nucleotides) under uncultured bacterium. RNAcentral's name for it is "partial 16S ribosomal RNA". It matches the Rfam family "Bacterial small subunit ribosomal RNA", at positions 28 to 526 of the family's 1533-position model. The record is from RNAcentral.
GACGAACGCUGGCGGCGUGCUUAACACAUGCAAGUCGAACGAAGUGGCGAACGGGUGAGUAACGCGUAAUCAACCUGCCCUUCAGAGGGGGUCAACACUUGGAAACGACUGCUAAUACCGGAUACUGAAGGAGGGGAUUGCGUCUGAUUAGCUAGUUGGAGGGGUAACGGCCCACCAAGGCGAGGAUCAGCAGCCGGUCUGAGAGGAUGGACGGCCACAUUGGGACUGAGACACGGCCCAGAGUGCUACAGGAGGCAGCAGUGGGGAAUCUUCCGCAAUGGACGAAAGUCUGACGGAGCAACGCCGCGUGAGUGAUGACGGCCUUCGGGGUGUAAAGCUCUGUUAAUCGGGACGCGGUACCGGAAUAGAAAGCCACGGCUAACUACGUGCCAGCAGCCGCGGUAAUAC